Long non-coding RNA from Equus caballus (horse), 3634 nucleotides. The record is from Ensembl. NCBI's taxonomy places the organism in Eukaryota, Metazoa, Chordata, Mammalia, Perissodactyla, Equidae.
CACUCAAUGCUGUCACUUACAGGAGAUGCUGUCCCAGGGACACCUCGGGCCUCACUUCACACAUAUAAUGGCCUUGGGCUACACUGUGGGUCCGAAGAUCUCUGGGAAGGCCAGCAGUGCUGGGCCUGGACCGGCUCAGUCCCUGCCCGAGAAAUGGUCCAUCACGUCCCCGGGCAGGAGGCCGGGAGUGCAGGGGGUGGCGUGAUGGCGACCAGGAAGGAGUUGGCUUGCCUGCUGCUGACCCCGUGAUCUCAGGGUAUCAAUGUGCCUCAGGAAAGGGAAGACCCCCUAGGACCCAGAAGGACCCAUAAGUUGCUCCAUUGCCACAUGGACCCUCUAGCGCCAGCCCAGACAGUAGCCUUGAGGGGCCAGCAUUUGAAAUGCCUGCAGCAUCAUCCCCCAGGAACCAGGCCAGACAAGCGGAGGCGAAGAGAGGGCGGCAGAAAACAAGAUAAAUGGCCCAAUGGAUGCCAGCCCCGGCCGCCAAACACCGGGGGCUGUGGACUGGGCUGGCCCACGAUGUGCGUGUGAAGCAGCAGCUCACACAGAGCGUCGCCAAGCCCCUUCUUUCAGCAAACGCUGAGUCCCCGGAUGUGGGCUGACUUCGGGGCGUGGACAAUUUCUGUGGGUCAAGAAUCCAGGAACGCAGUGAUUUCUUGGAUCCGACAACGAAAGCAUAGGCAAUAAAAGAAAAAACUAGAUCAAGGGGACUACAUCAAAAUUUAAAACUUCUUCAUGUCAAAGGACAAUCGACAGUGUGAAAAGAGAACCCAUGAAAUGGGAGAAAAUAGUUGCAAAUCGUGUAUCUGCUAAGGGAAUGACGUCCAGAAUAUGUAAAGAACCCCUGCAACUCAGCUCUGGAACAAACAGCCUGAUGCAGAAACCGGCAAAGGACCUGAACAGGUGUUUCUCCAAAGGCAACGCCCACAAGCCCCUGAAAAGGUGCUCAAAGUCACUGGUAUGAGGGAAAUGCAAGCUGACACCACAGUGAGACGGUGCCUCACACCCAUCAGGACGGCUGCUCUCAAAACACGGAAAACGACAAGUGUUUCUUGUUGGAGGAUGAGGAGAAAUUGGGGUGUUGUGUGCUGUUGGUGGGGAUGUGAAUUUGUAUAGCUGCUGUGGAAAACAGGGUGCAGGUUCCUCCAAAAAUUAAACACAGAAUUACUGUGUGAUCCAGCAAUCCUACUUUUGGGUCUUUCCCCAAAAGAAGUGAAAGCAGGGUCUUGAUGACAUACUGCACACCCGUGUUCACAGCAGCAUUGUUCACAACAGCAAAAACGAGGAAGCAACCUCAGUGUCCCUUGAUGGAUGAAUGGCGUUAAAAAGAAAACCACAGGCCCCAAACAAUGUUAUUUGUGCUAAAGCCCAUGACAUGAGCCUGGAUUUGAGGCCUGAUCUAACUGCACUUUCAGCCUCUCCCAGAAACGUCAUCUUAAUCGACCAGUCUGGAAUUUUCUGGUCAACACCAGUCGGGUAAUCGCUCACCUGGGCCCUCUUGGCUCCCCAGAAGAAGAGGCAUCCAUGUGACAAAGCCCCUACCUUUCCUUCCCCCAGGAGACAAGGAGACGCCCUGGCCCCAAGUUAGCCUUCCUUUUCUUUUCUGGGAGCUCCCUGCCCGACCCUCCUUCCUAUUGCAGCCUGCAGAGCUCCCUUCUAGUGGCUAGAUGAGGUGCUGCCCGAUUCAGAGGCGCUUAGUGAAGCCAAUUAGAGCUUCCCAUUUACUCAGUUGAAUUUUGGUUUUAACAAUGGACGAGCAAAACGUGGCAUAUCCAUAUGUGAUGUUGUGAUUUAUAAUAAACAUGUAUUUGGUGUUCAUCUGUGAUUCCUGGCUCACGGCUCCCAAAAUGCUUGGAAAUUCCUGAGCAACAAUAACAAUGGGAGCAUCUUUUGUUAGAAUAUUUGGUCUCUCAUUCUCAGUUCCUCAAAUUGCUUCAGAGCCAUGAAGGUGACAUGGGUGUCUUUUUUUUAAAUUAUUUUUUAUUGUGGUAACAUUGGUUUAUAACAUUAUAUAAAUUUCGAGUGUACAUCAUUGUUGUGUAUAUUUUGAUUUCUGUGUAGAUUACAUCAUGUUCACCACCCAAAGACUAAUUACAAUCCAUCACCACACAUUUACGCCUAAUCAUCCCUUUCGUCCUGCUGCCUCCCCUCUUCCCCUCUGGUGACCACCAAUCCAGUCUCUGUUUCUGUGUGUUUAUCUGUCGCUGUUUUAAUCUUCUACUUAUGAGUCAGAUCAUAUGGUAUUUGACUUUCUCCCUCUGACAUUUCACCUAACAUAAGGUCCAUCCCUGUUGUCACGCCAGAUUUUAUAGCUUCUUAUGGCUGAGUCGUACUCGGUUGUGUAUAUAUAGCACAUAUUCUGUAUCCACUCGUCCCUUGAUGGCCACCUAGGCUGCUUCCAAGUCUUGGCUGAUGAGGAUUUUUAGACUGGUUAAUUUUAAAACUACAGAUGAGAGGCAGGCUCCGAGGAGUGGAAUUUGCUUGCCCCUUUGUUGGGAAAUAUUUACAUUUCUAAGGGAAACCUCUAUCUGUAAAGAUGCCUCCCUCUCUGUGCCAGGAAGAAGGGGGAUGGCCUUAUCUCUAGAAACUCUUAAUGCCAGAGACAAGAAUUUAAGUUGGUUGCUGUCUGGCAAUCUCAUGUAACUGAUUUAGGGUGGUGGCUUCUGACCUUUACUUAAUCCGAUUUGAUUCUUGUCUAAAAGUCAUGGGAUCACCCAAUGACCAGACCCCACCUGCACUGAUACCAUUUUAACUUUUUUUCGUGUUCUUUCCUUUGUCUUGUAAAAAGAUGACUCACAUACCCAUGCCUUAUAAAAUCAGCCCUAACCCUCAACUCGGGGCAGCAGCAGGAGCUCCUCCUGCCCGUGGGCCCUGUCCCCACGCAGCAGAAGCUCUGACUGCCCAUGGGUCCUGUCCCCAUGCUAUUCUAUUCUCUAAAUAAAAGAGCACUACUGCCAGAUCUUGAGUGUCCAAGAAAUCUUUCUUUCGACUCCUCAGCUCACCGACCCUGCAUCCUUGGCUAUUGUGAAUAAGGCUGCGAUGAACAUAGGCUGCAUGUCCUGUCAUUCAUAACAAUCCCCUUUCCACCACAACUGGGUUUCUGUUAGUGAGGUGACUUUUGCAAACCCCCUAAGGAUGAGGGCUGGUGGCCAGGGGAACAAACUGUGAUUGGAGGGUUGGUGCCUCCAUAAAAUCCAAACGGAGGGGGGUUCAGAGAGCAUCCAGGUUGGUGGACCAGAACGCCAGGCCAGUGCCAGGCCCCAGGGACCCGAACUCCCAGGGACAGAAGCUCCUGCAUUUGGGACCCUUCCAGACCUCGGCCUAAGUAUCUCUUCAUCUGGCUGUCCGUUCAUAUCCUUUAGUAUCCUCUGUAAUAAAGUGGUGAUCUAGUAAGUGAACUGGCUUCCUGAGUUCUGUGAGCCGCUCCAGCAAAUUCCUUCGACCCGAGGCAGGUCGUGGGAGCCUCACACCGCUACCACCUGGGGGAACCUUGAGGACAUCACGCCGAGUGAGAUGAGCCAGUCACAAAAGGACAAAUCCUGCACGAUUCCACUCAUAUGAGGUCCCCAGAGUCGUCAAAUCCAUAGAGACAGAAACCCCCCCAGUACAUAGUUGUACAUUCUUCGUUGUGGGU